GUUGCCGGGCCGGAUGGCGAGAACGCCGCCAACCCCGUCAGGUUCGAAAGAAAGCAGCGGUAACGGUUUGUUCUCGGGUGUCCGGCCCAUCGCACUUUU
This 99-nucleotide signal recognition particle RNA is filed under the name Desulfovibrio sp. RNAcentral's name for it is "signal recognition particle sRNA small type". It matches the Rfam family "Bacterial small signal recognition particle RNA". From Rfam's summary of the family: The signal recognition particle (SRP) is a universally conserved ribonucleoprotein involved in the co-translational targeting of proteins to membranes. Archaeal SRP consists of a 7S RNA and homologues of the eukaryotic SRP19 and SRP54 proteins. The record is from RNAcentral. Lineage: Bacteria; Pseudomonadati; Thermodesulfobacteriota; Desulfovibrionia; Desulfovibrionales; Desulfovibrionaceae.